Molecule: ribosomal RNA, 253 nt
Filed under: uncultured bacterium
Lineage: Bacteria
Description: partial 16S ribosomal RNA
Rfam family: Bacterial small subunit ribosomal RNA
Source: RNAcentral
UACGGAGGGUGCAAGCGUUGUCCGGAUUUAUUGGGUUUAAAGGGUGCGUAGGCGGUUCUUUAAGUCUGGGGUGAAAGCCCGUUGCUCAACAACGGAACUGCCCUGGAAACUGGAGGACUUGAGUACAGACGAGGGUGGCGGAAUGGACGGUGUAGCGGUGAAAUGCAUAGAUACCGUCCAGAACCCCAAUUGCGUAGGCAGCUGCCUAGGCUACAUCUGACACUGAGGCACGAAAGCGUGGGGAGCAAACAGG